GAUGAACGCUAGCGGCAGGCUUAAUACAUGCAAGUCGAGGGGCAGCAUGGUGUAGCAAUACACUGAUGGCGACCGGCAAACGGGUGCGGAACACGUACAGAACCUUCCUUCGAGCGGGGAAUAGCCCAGAGAAAUUUGGAUUAAUACCCCAUAGUAUAAUGAAGAGGCAUCUCUUUAUUAUUAAAGAUUUAUCACUUGAAGAUGGCUGUGCGGCUGAUUAGGUAGUUGGCGGGGUAACGCCCACCAAGCCUACGAUCAGUAACUGGUGUGAGAGCACGACCAGUCACACGGGCACU
This 296-nucleotide ribosomal RNA is filed under the name uncultured bacterium. RNAcentral's name for it is "partial 16S ribosomal RNA". It matches the Rfam family "Bacterial small subunit ribosomal RNA", at positions 28 to 320 of the family's 1533-position model. The record is from RNAcentral.